RNAcentral lists this long non-coding RNA (2172 nucleotides) under Salmo salar (Atlantic salmon). RNAcentral describes it as "lncRNA (ENSSSAG00000102167.1, ENSSSAG00000108473.1)". Lineage: Eukaryota; Metazoa; Chordata; Actinopteri; Salmoniformes; Salmonidae. The record is from RNAcentral.
GGGAGAGUCUCGUUCCAUGGUGGACAGACAGGGAGAGUCUCGUUCCAUGGUGGACAGACAGGGAGAGUCUCGUUCCAUGGUGGACAGACAGGGAGAGUCUCGUUCCAUGGUGGACAGACAGGGAGAGUCUCGUUCCAUGGUGGACAGGCAGGGAGAGUCUCGUUCCAUGGUGGACAGCAAACCCUCAACCUUCUGGCCUGUUGGCCCUGCGUGACAUCAACUGUGUCACAAAAGAAUGCUGAAGUUGCAAAGUCGAUAUGUCCACGUUUAUAAACGCAGGCUUGCUACAGUUAUCGUAUAUUUAUGGUGGUAACCAUCAUUUUUGUACAUUGUUUGGUAUGUUUCAUGUUGUUUUCUCUUCAUGUAUUUAUUAGGGUGUUUGGUAGAGCAGCAAGUCAACUGGACUUCCUUAGUGGUUACCUGGGUUGUUUCCAGACACGUUGUCAUGGUGAUACCGGUGUAAAUAGCUGACUGGACAUUGAUCUGAUUUAAUGAGUACGAGAGUGUAUUCACUAGGAAAUAAACGGAAGCAAAACAGGACACUUGGAUCUACCUGAAAUGUGUCAAAUAGAAAUGAGUUUGCACAAAUGAAUACAUCCCAUGCCACAUGAUUCAGGUUUCUAUCUGUAACACUGGUUACACCACUGUAAAACGUUUGCACAAAUGAAUACAUCCCAUGCCACAUGAUUCAGGUUGUAUCUGUAACACUGGUUACACCACUGUAAAACGUUUGCACUAAUGAAUACAUCCCAUGCCUCAUGAUUCAGGUUGUAUCUGUAACACUGGUUACACCACUGUAAAACGUUUGCACAAAUGAAUACAUCCCAUGCCACAUGAUUCAGGUAACACUUUGGUUAUACCACUGUAAUGAGUUUGGGGAAAGGCUGUGGCUUUCUUCAUUCUUAUUUUGUAUUUUUGUUUUUCUGCUCUCAAGUUGUGAAUAUUUUUUUAUUUUAUUGAAAGCCAGCGAGAAUGUGCACAAAUCAGCUUUCAAGACUACACCCAAUGAUAACUAAAUAGAUCUUAGGAUUUAGAAUCUAUUGAAGAGAUGUAGGUGGAAAAUGUUGUUUUCUUCUGUCAUGAAAUGUACAGUGCCUUCGGAAAGUAUUCAGACCCCUUGACUUUUUUCCACAUUUUGUAACGUAACAACCUUAUUCUAAAAUUAUUAUUUUUUUAAAUAGUUUCCUCAAUCUACACACAAUAGCUCAUAAUGACAAAGCAAAAACAGGUUUUUAGACAUUUUUUUUCUUCUAAUUUAUUAAAAAUAAAAUUGAAAUAUCACAUUUACAUAAGUAUUCAGACCCUUUAGUCAGUACUUUAUUGUACUUCACCUUUGGCAGAAAUUACAACAUCAAGUCUUGUUGGGUGUGAUGCUACAAGCUUGGCACACCUGUAUUUGGGGAGUUUCUCCCAUUCUUCUCUGCAGAUCCUCUCAAGCUCUGUCAGGUUAAAUGGGGAGCGUCGCUGCACAGCUAUUUUCAGGUCUCUCCAGAGAUGUUCGAUCGGGUUCAAGUCCCGCCACUACCAUGCUUCACCGUAGGGAUGGUGCCAGGUUUCCUCCAGACGUGAUGCUUGGCAUUCAGGCCAAAGAGUUCAAUCUUGGUUUCAUCAGACCAUAGAAUCUUGUUUCUCAUGGUCUGAGAGUCCUUUAGGUGCCUUUUGGUAAACUCUAAUGUAAAUGUGAAUAAGGUAUUUCUGUUUUGUAAAUCUUUUUACAUUUGCCCAAACUUCAAAAACACUGUUUUUGCUUUGUCAUUAUGGGGUAUUGUGUAUAGAUUGCUGAGGAUUUUUAUUUAUUUAAUCAAUUUUAGAAUAAGGCUGUAAUGUAACAAAAUGUGGAAAAAAGUAAAGGGGUCUGAAUACAUUCCAAAGGCACUGUGUACUUCCUAAAUUGCACCCUAUUCCCUUUCUAGUGCACUACUUUUGACCAGGGUAGUGCACUAUAAAAGGACUAUGGUGCCAUUUGGGAUGGACAAUAUAUUGUAAUAUUUUGUAUUUGUUGAAGGAAUGAUAUGAUUGGACUUUGUAAAAAUGCUUCCUUUUUUGUAUCUGCUUCUUUUGUAGAAUCAAAUGGAACAUGUUUAAUAUAUUUGUCAAAAGAUGAUAGAUUUUAUGUUCUGUGGUGUGUUUUAUUUUAGAUUUUAGUGUGGCGUCAUUGUGGGAAAUGUUCUU